Nematostella vectensis (starlet sea anemone) is the source of this 951-nucleotide long non-coding RNA. RefSeq lists it as uncharacterized. The record is from RefSeq and is a predicted model, not a curated record. The transcript has 2 exons. NCBI's taxonomy places the organism in Eukaryota, Metazoa, Cnidaria, Anthozoa, Actiniaria, Edwardsiidae.
UGUUUUUAUUUUCCACCUCACCUUAUUCAAUGUCUUUUUGUCAACACUACUGUGAAGGAAAGAAGAUUAUUCGUUAUUCCCUUUACUUCGAUAGUUAAUCAAUAGUAGCGGAGCCAGUGCUACUACUAGCUAUGCGACUUGGUUUUGUGGUCAUCGUGCGGGUAUCCUGUGGUGUCACAAUCCAUCCAUCCAGUCAAUCGUGCAACUCCCAGGCCCCACUUGAUCUUACGCUGUUGUCUGUUUUUUAUCGCCUUUGUGCUGCAAAGUUCGUAUGUUCACAGAAGAAAGGCAGCAUGAAAAUAGUAUUUAAUGAGAAAAUAAGCGGAUUCAAAUGGGCUGAAGUUUUUUAAGGAAACGUUUUGUCUGAAGUAUGAACGGAUGUAAAAUCCUGCCCGUGGCAGCAGCAGCAGCUAAAAAAAGGACGAAGAGGAGACGCUCUACAAUAUGAUUCUAUAUUCAUUCAUGUCUACAUAUAUCUAUGUAAGGAGAUCCUGAGAGGAAAAGGCCUUGGAUUGAUGUCUGUUUUCAGCUAUAAAAAUCAUUCACUUGUGUUGACGAGUUCCUUGCUAGCAGAAAGAUCACACGGUUUACAACAAAAACCGAACACAACCACUAGGCGACAAACAUAAAGCGACAAAAAAAACACUGUUAAGGUAAAACCAAGGACUACCUGAGGGUCAUGACUGAUGCUAAAGGCUGGAAGGCAUAAUAAUAGGCAAAUGUAGCUGGGAUUUCUUACUUUGAUACAGCAGUAUAAGUGUAAUAGGGUUUUUAGAGCAAGAUACUUUGUGUUAAUGAUACUGUAAAUCUGUAAAACAUUUUUUAUCAACCUGAAGAUAAUGAUCAUUAUCUUCAGGUUAUUAAGGAAAGGGGAAAUGUUGGGAGAGUGUUCAAUCAAGUUGUUGCAUUACUGUUAAAGUUUUUAUCAAAAAUAUAGUCCCAGUUUCUUUU